UACGUAGGGUGCAGGCGUUAAUCGGAAUUACUGGGCGUAAAGCGUGCGCAGGCGGUCUUUUAAGUCAGAUGUGAAAUGCCCGGGCUUAACCUGGGAACUGCAUUUGUGACUGCAUGGCUAGAGUUUGGCAGAGGGGGGUAGAAUUCCACGUGUAGCAGUGAAAUGCGUAGAUAUGUGGAGGAACACCGAUGGCGAAGGCAGCCCCCUGGGUCAAGACUGACGCUCAUGCACGAAAGCGUGGGGAGCAAACAGG
RNAcentral lists this ribosomal RNA (253 nucleotides) under uncultured bacterium. Its description in RNAcentral is "partial 16S ribosomal RNA". It matches the Rfam family "Bacterial small subunit ribosomal RNA", at positions 524 to 776 of the family's 1533-position model. The record is from RNAcentral.